Molecule: ribosomal RNA, 473 nt
Filed under: uncultured anaerobic ammonium-oxidizing bacterium
Lineage: Bacteria
Description: bacterial SSU rRNA
Rfam family: Bacterial small subunit ribosomal RNA
Source: RNAcentral
UUUCGCAAUGCCCGAAAGGGUGAACGAGCGACGCCGCGUGCGGGAUGAAGGGUUUCGGCUUGUAAACCGCUUUUCUUUGGGAAGAAGGUCCGCCUCGUGCAGGCGGGUUUGACGGUACCAGAGGAAUAAGCCUCGGCUAACUCCGUGCCAGCAGCCGCGGUAAGACGGAGGAGGCGAGCGUUGUUCGGAAUUAUUGGGCGUAAAGGGCGCGUAGGCGGAUCGGCAUGUCUGGCGUGAAAUCUCCACCGCUUAACGGGGAGAGGUCGCUGGAAACUACCGAUCUGGAGUUCGGCAGAGGGUCAUGGAAUUCCAGGUGUAGCGGUGGAAUGCGUAGAUAUCAGGAGGAACGCCGGUGGCGAAAGCGACUCUCUGGACUGCUUCUGACACUGAUGCGCGAAAGCUAGGGGAGCAAACAGGAUUAGAUACCCUGGUAGUCCUAGCUGUAACCGAUGGGCACUAAGUAGAGGGGUUUU